GACAACUCUGGUACAGUCAUUGGUAAUUUGUGGAUACCAUCCCAAUAGAACUUUUCUUGUUUUGAGGCAAACCAUUCAAAGACCCAAUUUUCCACUUCUUCGUACGUUUUGAAGUGCUGCUCAGAAAGUGCGUGUGCCAUCGAUUGGAACAAGUGGUAAUCUGAAGGAGCAAGGUCUGGAGAAUACAGCGGUUGACCUGGACGUUCUUUGUCUUUCACAUCGAAAUCAUCACUUUUAAAGCGUUUAAACCAGCGUUCACAAGUAUCUUGUGAUGGAGCAUGUUCACCAUAAGCUUCCUGAAAUAUACGAUAAUUUUCAGCAGCACUUUUCUUCAAAAUAAAGUAAUGAAUUAAAACUUCCCGCAAAUGCUCUUUUUUUGGCACGAAAUUUGACACUUUUAAGCAUAAAAAUAUCUAUGAUGUUAACACCUUCAGAAAAUUUGACAUAUGAAGUUUUGAAGCUUGAUGUCAAUAUAA
Molecule: long non-coding RNA, 476 nt
Organism: Eptesicus fuscus (big brown bat)
Lineage: Eukaryota; Metazoa; Chordata; Mammalia; Chiroptera; Vespertilionidae
Exons: 3
Source: RefSeq, a predicted model, not a curated record